Molecule: ribosomal RNA, 306 nt
Filed under: uncultured bacterium
Lineage: Bacteria
Description: partial 16S ribosomal RNA
Rfam family: Bacterial small subunit ribosomal RNA
Source: RNAcentral
GACAGCAGCCGCCACGGUAAUACGGAGGGUGCAAGCGUUAAUCGGAAUUACUGGGCGUAAAGCGCACGCAGGCGGUUUGUUAAGUCAGAUGUGAAAUCCCCGAGCUUAACUUGGGAACUGCAUUUGAAACUGGCAAGCUAGAGUCUUGUAGAGGGGGGUAGAAUUCCAGGUGUAGCGGUGAAAUGCGUAGAGAUCUGGAGGAGUACCGGUGGCGAAGGCGGCCCCCUGGACAAAGACUGACGCUCAGGCGCGAAAGCGUGGGGAGCAAACAGGAUUAGAUACCCCAGUAGUCCCUGUCUCUUAUAC